ACUCCUACGGGAGGCAGCAGUGGGGAAUAUUGCACAAUGGGCGCAAGCCUGAUGCAGCCAUGCCGCGUGUGAUGAAGAAGGCCUUCGGGUUGUAAAGUACUUUCAGCAGUGAGGAAGGCGGGUACGUUAAUAGCGUGCUCCGUUUGACGUUAGCUGCAGAAGAAGCACCGGACCGNAAGUUCCNGCCAGCAGCCGCGGUAAUACGGAGGGUGCGAGCAGUUAAUCGGAAUUACUGGGCGUAAAGCGCAAUGCAGGUGGUUUGUUAAGUCAGAUGUGAAAGCCCGGGGCUCAACCUCGGAAUAGCUUUGAAACUGGCA
This 317-nucleotide ribosomal RNA is filed under the name uncultured bacterium. RNAcentral describes it as "bacterial SSU rRNA". It matches the Rfam family "Bacterial small subunit ribosomal RNA", at positions 335 to 638 of the family's 1533-position model. The record is from RNAcentral.